AGAAGCACUAUUUGUUCUUUGAAAUACGGAAACCUAGGACCUCCUUAAUUUCCCACCAGGAAAAUCAGCUGUUGGUUUUAAGUGGAUACAAAGUCAAGUCAAGGUCCAAGGGAUCUAAUCUAUUGAAUGAUACAAAGCCCAUUUUAAUGUUAAAUUUUUUCUCAGGAAUAUAGGAUAGAUUAUGAAGAGACCUGGCUCCUGCAGCUCAUAUGACUAUUUUUUAAGCUCUUAUUUAGCUCUUAUUUCAGUAACUUUAGUACAAAACUAUCCUUUGCUCUAGAU
RNAcentral lists this long non-coding RNA (282 nucleotides) under Elaeis guineensis (African oil palm). Its description in RNAcentral is "long non-coding RNA (EGUI_LNC012317)". The record is from RNAcentral. Lineage: Eukaryota; Viridiplantae; Streptophyta; Magnoliopsida; Arecales; Arecaceae.